UUAGUCAACGAAAGCUGAGGAAAAAUUUCACUCCCUCCACCUUCUUCCCCCGCGGGAAUAUUUCGACGAAGCGGAGGGUGGCGCUGGCAGCAGCGAAAGAUUUCUGAAAAUUGAGUAAAAAUGUCGACAGUUUACGUAUUAGAGCCGCCGACGAGGGGGAAGGUCGUGCUGAAUACCACAUGCGGACCGCUCGAUAUCGAGCUCUGGCCUAAGGAGGCUCCCAAAGCUGUCAGAAAUUUCGUUCAGCUCUGUCUUGAAGGCUACUACGACAAUACCAUCUUUCACCGGAUUAUCAAGGACUUCAUUGUUCAGGGCGGCGAUCCUACCGGUAGCGGCACAGGUGGUGAAAGUAUAUAUGGGGGUGUUUUCCCGGAUGAGUUUCACUCACGGCUUAGAUUCAAGCACAGGGGCUUAGUAGCAUGUGCAAAUGCGGGGUCGCCUCAUUCUAAUGGAAGUCAGUUCUUUAUAACCCUGAGUCGAUGUGAUGACCUUGACAAGAAACAUACAAUUUUCGGAAAGGUCACUGGAGAUUCUAUCUAUAACCUAACAAGUUUGGGUGAGUUCGAAACUGACAAGGAUGAUCGUCCUGUGGAUCCACCCAAGAUAAAAUCAAUUGAGGUAUUAUGGAAUCCAUUUGAUGAUAUUGUUCCAAGAGCACCUGCUAAGCUUGUGGUCACAUCCACCGUUGAUUCUGAAAACAGGGACACUAAGAAGAAAGCUGUGAAAAAAUUAAAUUUACUAUCGUUUGGAGAAGAAGCUGAAGAGGACGAGAAAGAACUGGCAGCUGUGAAGAAAAAAAUUAAGAGCAGUCAUGAUGUGUUGGAUGAUCCACGUUUGCUAAAGUCAGAGAUUCCAAGCAGUGAAUUGGACAGUAAAAGAACGAGGGAGAUGCAGCUAUCUGUUAGAGAGACUUUAGCAUCAAAGAAACAAGAGUCUCGCAGAGAUUCAGAAGCUGAAAAUUCUGAUCUCCCUCAAUACAGUGAUAGUGAUGAUGAUGAAACUAACUUUGAUGCCCGAAUGCGUCAACAGAUAUUGAGAAAAAGAACAGAGUUGGGAGAUGCACCAUCUCACCAAAAGUCUAAAAAUGGGACCUCUGACUCAAAGAAUCAUGAAGGAUCUACUCGAAGCAGGCCCGAUACUGAGAAAACUAAACGUGAGCAACCAAAGGUUGAGAAGUUAUCCUUGAAGAAGAAAGGAAUUGGAUCUGAAGCGAGAGCAGAGCGAAUGGCCAAUGCUGAUUCAGACUUGCAGUUGUUGGGUGAUGCUGAAAGAGGAAGACAGCUGCAAAAAUUGAAGAAGAGAAGACUUCAAGGACGUGAAGAUGAGGUUUUGGCAAAACUUGAGAAUUUUAAGAAAGGCUUUUCUGGAAAACCAGAACCUUCAAACGCUGAUUCCGGGGGUGCCAAUGAUGAUUUAUCAGACUGGAAAUCUGUUAGGCUAAAGUUCACACCAGAGCCUGGCAAGGACCGCAUGUCACGUAGUGAUGAUCCAAAUGACUAUGUUGUACAUGACCCUCUUCUCGAGAAAGGGAAAGAGAAAUUCAACAAAAUGCAAGCCAAACAAAAACGACGUGAACGGGAAUGGGCUGGCAAAUCUCUUACUUGACUCAUCAGUCAAGACCCUGGACAAACAAUGGGUUUCAAGAGUCGUAGAUUAAAUCCCAGAUUGACUUGGCUCCAUUCUUUUACUAUCAAACCAGAUCAAAUCUACAUCUCUAUUCCCACGGAACAGUGAAGAUUUAUUGAGGUUCAUCAAUCAUCAUUAUUGACAACCAUGACCAAUUGUUUCAGACACGCAAGUUUCUGAAUUUGGAAAAAGAAACAGUAUAUGGAUGUCUGAUUUGGCCAAACCUCAUCUUGAAAGGAAAAGAAAAUAAAAAAAUUUUAUUCAGGAAGGAGAUGGGUCUUCAAAGCAUCAUAUUCUGUCUGCUGUAGCGCACAUUAUUCAUUCAGACUUGAAAAGUCAUCCAUCAACAACACGUUCUUUACUCAGUCGUUUAUGCCUUCAGACGCGCAAAGAUAGUCGGCCCAGUCAUACUACCCGGAAAUUUACUCCUUUAGUUGGAACUUUACCCCAACCGUUUAUUAAUUUGGUGGAAAAAAUUACUUUUCUUUAUUCAAAUUUGGUUCGUUGGGAAGGAAAGCAAAGGAAAGGAAAGGAAAUGGAUUUAACCUAACCCACCUUUUAUAUUAUUUUAGAUUCCUUGACUAAGUGAUUGGCUCGGAUCUCUCAUCUUAUAUUUCACACUUAUUUUGGUUGUUGAGAAUUUCGGUGUUUGGUGGGGGCGUUUUGGGGCCUCUUCUGAAAUGGGUUAUAGAAAUACUUUGGUACCAAAAAAAAAAAAAAACUGUUGAAGAAAGAUUUCAUAUUUUUCAUGUGUGACACUGAACUUAGUCUUGUUAUUCUUAUGAUUAUUGUUCAUGAUUCCUUUUGAAA
This is an RNA transcript of Cucumis melo (muskmelon), 2436 nucleotides long. It is a transcript of the gene named peptidyl-prolyl cis-trans isomerase CYP57, with no coding region annotated. The transcript is spliced from 12 exons. Lineage: Eukaryota; Viridiplantae; Streptophyta; Magnoliopsida; Cucurbitales; Cucurbitaceae. The record is from RefSeq and is a predicted model, not a curated record.